Molecule: long non-coding RNA, 398 nt
Filed under: Hordeum vulgare
Lineage: Eukaryota; Viridiplantae; Streptophyta; Magnoliopsida; Poales; Poaceae
Description: long non-coding RNA (HVUL_LNC003769)
Source: RNAcentral
UGCUCAAGUUCGCUCGUCCCUUUCUAAUUAUUGUGUUCCGGUCAUUUGAAGCAUGAGCUCACCAAGCACAUUAAUGUUGAUGCCUCCUUCGUGCACUCCAGUGCGCGGGAUCAGAUUAUUACUCUUCAGUAUGUGCCUUUCGAUUUACUGUUGGUUGGUUUCUUCAUAAAGCCUUAGACAGGAGCACAACACAGCUUUUAGCUCUCCAAGCCAUAGGGCCCAACAGUUGUGGCACCUCAAUGAACAAGCAUCCCGAGUAGUACAUCCAUGUGAAGACAACAGAUCUGCCCACAACCGUUCGUCGUCGCGGCUAAGCACAAGCGUAGGGUGCAUUAUUCCUUUCUCCUCCAUGUGUCCUCUUCCGCCUUUCUCGCUUCCACUAAUGCCAUCCCCUCACC